Molecule: ribosomal RNA, 497 nt
Filed under: uncultured bacterium
Lineage: Bacteria
Description: partial 16S ribosomal RNA
Rfam family: Bacterial small subunit ribosomal RNA
Source: RNAcentral
GAUGAACGCUGGCGGCGUGCCUAAUACAUGCAAGUCGAGCGAACGAACGAGAAGCUUGCUUCUCUUAUGUUAGCGGCGGACGGGUGAUUAACAGGUGGAUACCCUAUCGAUGGGGCUGGGGUAAGUUCAGGAGACCGGAGCUAAUACCGGAUGAGAGUUUGAACGGGAUGGUUCAAAAGUGAAAGACGGUCUUGCUGUCACUUAUAGAUGGAUCCGCGCUGCAUUAGCUAGUUGGUAAGGUAACGGCUUACCAAGGCAACGAUGCAUAGCCGACCUGAGAGGAUGAUCAGCCACACUGGAACUGAGACACGGUCCAGACUCCUACGGGAGGCAGCAGUAGGGAAUCUUCCGCAAUGGGCGAAAGCCUGAUGCAGCAACGCCGCGUGAGUGAUGAAGGUCUUCGGAUCGUAAAACUCUGUAAGUUGGGAAGAACAUAAGUGUAAGUAACUGUGCACAUCUUGACGUUACCUACACAGUAAGCCACGGCUAACUACGUG